UGGUGGGUAGUUUGACUGGGGCGGUCUCCUCCUAAAGAGUAACGGAGGAGCACGAAGGUCAGCUAAUCCUGGUCGGACAUCAGGAGGUUAGUGCAAUGGCAUAAGCUGGCUUGACUGCGAGCGUGACGGCGCGAGCAGGUGCGAAAGCAGGUCAUAGUGAUCCGGUGGUUCUGAAUGGAAGGGCCAUCGCUCAACGGAUAAAAGGUACUCCGGGGAUAACAGGCUGAUACCGCCCAAGAGUUCAUAUCGACGGCGGUGUUUGGCACCUCGAUGUCGGCUCAUCACAUCCUGGGGCUGAAGUAGGUCCCAAGGGUAUGGCUGUUCGCCAUUUAAAGUGGUACGCGAGCUGGGUUUAGAACGUCGUGAGACAGUUCGGUCCCUAUCUGCCGUGGGCGCUGGAGAAUUGAGGGGGGCUGCUCCUAGUACGAGAGGACCGGAGUGGACGCAUCACUGGUGUUCGGGUUGUCAUGCCAAUGGCAUUGCCCGGUAGCUAAAUGCGGAAGAGAUAAGUGCUGAAAGCAUCU
Molecule: ribosomal RNA, 524 nt
Filed under: Klebsiella michiganensis
Lineage: Bacteria; Pseudomonadati; Pseudomonadota; Gammaproteobacteria; Enterobacterales; Enterobacteriaceae
Description: partial 23S ribosomal RNA
Rfam family: Bacterial large subunit ribosomal RNA
Source: RNAcentral